ACUACAAACCGGGCUAUCGCCUUCCCGAUUCAGGGGUGGAGGAAAGUCCGGACAGCAUAGGGCAAUGUACCGGUGAAUAGCCGGGUCUUCCCGACUUGUCGGGAGGAACAGACAGUGCCACAGAAAAUUACUGCCUUCGUCCCGACCUAUGGUCGGGAUUCGUCCGAGUAUGGCAAGGCCUCCUUCGCCAGGGCUUCGGAGGGUAAAGAUGAAAACGUGGGGUAAGAGCCCACGGCUUUGCCGGGCGACCGGUAAGGCGGGUAAACCUUGCAUGCUGAAAUGCCAUGUAUACCAGCGUUGAAGGGCGGCUCGUCCGAUUCUUCCCGCAGUAUUGCGGGGAGGAACGUUGGGUGGGUAGGCAGAACGAUCCAGUCAGCAAUGGCUGGACCAGAUAAAUGAUAGCCUCCCGAUCGUAGAUCGGGAUACAGAAUCCGGCUUACAGGUUUGUAGUUAUU
RNAcentral lists this RNase P RNA (455 nucleotides) under Niastella sp. HX-2-15. Its description in RNAcentral is "RNase P RNA component class A". It matches the Rfam family "Bacterial RNase P class A". From Rfam's summary of the family: Ribonuclease P (RNase P) is a ubiquitous endoribonuclease, found in archaea, bacteria and eukarya as well as chloroplasts and mitochondria. Its best characterised activity is the generation of mature 5'-ends of tRNAs by cleaving the 5'-leader elements of precursor-tRNAs. The record is from RNAcentral. Lineage: Bacteria; Pseudomonadati; Bacteroidota; Chitinophagia; Chitinophagales; Chitinophagaceae.